GAUGAACGCUGGCGGCGUGCCUAAUACAUGCCAGUCGAGCGAACAGACGAGGAGCUUGCUCCUCUGACGUUAACGGCGGAAGGGUGAGUAACACGUGGAUAACCUACCUAUAAGACUGGGAUAACUUCGGGAAACCGGAGCUAAUACCGGAUAAUAUAUUGAACCGCAUGGUUCAAUAGUGAAAGACGGUUUUGCUGUCACUUAUAGCUGGCUCCGGGCCGCAUUAGCUAGUUGGUAGGGUAACGGCUUCCCAAGGCCACGAUGCGUAGCCGACCUGCGGGGGGGAUGGGCGACACAGGAGGUGAGCGACGGUCCAGGGACUGAGGGAAGGCAGAGGUAGGAAUCGGCCGCAAUGGGCGAAAGCCUUACGGAGCAACGCCGCGUGAGUGAUGAAGGUCUUCGGAGCGUAAAACUCUGUUAUGAGGGAAGAACCAAUGUGUAAGUAACAAUACACGUCUUGACGGUACCUGAACAAAAAGCCACGGCUAACUACGUG
RNAcentral lists this ribosomal RNA (496 nucleotides) under uncultured bacterium. Its description in RNAcentral is "partial 16S ribosomal RNA". It matches the Rfam family "Bacterial small subunit ribosomal RNA", at positions 28 to 507 of the family's 1533-position model. The record is from RNAcentral.